Molecule: ribosomal RNA, 387 nt
Filed under: uncultured Nitrosospira sp.
Lineage: Bacteria; Pseudomonadati; Pseudomonadota; Betaproteobacteria; Nitrosomonadales; Nitrosomonadaceae
Description: bacterial SSU rRNA
Rfam family: Bacterial small subunit ribosomal RNA
Source: RNAcentral
GAAAGCAGGGGAUCGCAAGACCUUGCGCUAUUGGAGCGGCCGAUGUCUGAUUAGCUAGUUGGUGGGGUAAAGGCUCACCAAGGCGACGAUCAGUAGCGGGUCUGAGAGGAUGAUCCGCCACACUGGAACUGAGACACGGUCCAGACUCCUACGGGAGGCAGCAGUGGGGAAUUUUGGACAAUGGGGGCAACCCUGAUCCAGCCAUUCCGCGUGAGUGAAGAAGGCCUUCGGGUUGUAAAGCUCUUUCGGCAGGAAAGAAACGGUCACGGUUAAUACCCGUGACUUAUGACGGUACCUGAAGAAGAAGCACCGGCUAACUACGUGCCAGCAGCCGCGGUAAUACGUAGGGUGCGAGCGUUAAUCGGAAUUACUGGGCGUAAUGUGAAC